RNAcentral lists this long non-coding RNA (1504 nucleotides) under Gossypium raimondii (Peruvian cotton). RNAcentral describes it as "long non-coding RNA (GRAI_LNC004832)". The record is from RNAcentral. Lineage: Eukaryota; Viridiplantae; Streptophyta; Magnoliopsida; Malvales; Malvaceae.
UGGGUAGGCAAUGGACCACUAUGAAAGCUAAUUCAAUCUAAUAGUUUUGUGCCAGAAAGGUUUCUGAUUUUAUUGAUGCUUCAAGGAAUUGGAAUUUAUUUGUGGCUCAACAUGCUCACUUGAUUGACGUUUUGCUGGAAAUUAGGGCCACUUUGUUGCCAUAGUUCCAAGUUAUCGAUGACUCCUUUUACUAGGGAUAUGAAAGCAAUGAAGAUUCAAAGUGGUGUCUGCUUACUCAAUGCUUGUUGAUCUUGAUCGAGAUAUGCAUAUGGGGAGAAGAUGGGAUUGGAUUCGGUCUUUGCAGUGCCGUGAACGCAUCCAAUUCUUCAUUUGGCUUGUCAUGCGGGAUAAACUAAACUAGAAUAAGGUGCGUGCUCAUAAAGAUAUGACUGCAAAUGCAAGUUACAGCUAUUGUUGAGGGAGUGUCAAGUCCAUUGAGCACGUUCUAAGGAGUUGUUCGAAGGCUAAAGAGGUGUGGAAUGAGUUGCACAUUUGUGCUAUUUAACAUGACUUCUUCAAAUGUAGUUUUUAUACACAGGUGAAGCGAAAUGCUAAAUCUGCCAAAUAUAUGACUGGGACUUUCUAUGGGGCUCUCUCUUCUUAACCACGAUAUGGAGUUGAUGAAAAAGUUGUAAUGUAAGGGUGUUCAAAAACAAGUCUCAAUCUACAGGGGAAAUUUUGUGCCAUGAAAAAACAGCUUGCUGUUGAUAUCGGUUGGGCUACGGUAGGUGCAACUUCCAAUAUUGCAAAAGGGAUCCAAUGGGUUUUGUGGACGAAACCGCCGGACGGCUCAAUGAUUUUAAACAUGGAUGGAGCAUAAUAGUAAAUGGAUUAAAGAUAUAAUAGUUUGAAAGCGAAGCUCUGGGGAAUUCGAUAAGGGAUGCAAAUGGAAAGAUCAUUGGGCAUCCAAAACUUGGUUGUUGAGGUUGAUGCAAGACUAGUGGUACAUUUGCUUAAUUAGGGAAGGAUGGAUCAAGGAUAUUCCACCACAAAUAAAUAAGAUGCAUUAAUUUAGUUUCUCAAAUCUAGGAUCUUUAAUUUUCAAUUUUUUUUCAAAAAUAUUUUAUUAUUAGGCUAUAGUUAAAGAAGCAUGUGAAAAAGGUUGGUUGUUCCAAGUCCAAUCCUAUUGAAUGAGUAGACUAGCACGCCACUUUGAAGACUGGGCGGCUGCAUUUUCUAGCAGUCAUACAAAUAAAAUUGGUUAAAAUUAGUUUUCAGUCCCUGUACUUUUAGUUUUUGUACUUUAAAAAUUAAAAAUUCAAUCUUUUUAUUUUUCAAUUUAAAAAUUUUAGGCUAAUCAUUACUUUGUCGGCAGUUUUUGUCAGCAUUUAUCAAUUUAAUAUAUUUAUUUUUUGUUAAUCAUAUACCAUGUUAUGUGAGGAUAGCCUAAUUAAUAUGCUAUAAGUGAUUGGACUGAGAUUUUCAAAACUAUAAAAGUAACUUUCUUAGAUGCAAAGACUAAAUCUUAAAUUUGAUAAAAGUGUAGGAACUAACACCAUAUUUU